UGUUUUCCUUUGUAAGAGUUGCCGUGGCCAUGGUGUCUCUUCACAGCAAUAGAAACUCUAACUGAGACAGAUGGGAUGAAGAUCGCUGAUUGAGAGGGCAACGAGGUGGCAUUAGAGAUUUCAUGGGCCCUAAGAAUGUGAGGUUAAAGUAAGAGAGAAUGGGAAGACCAACUGUUCUCCGCCUGCCUCCAGUGAGGAUGUUAAAAGAAGCAAGAACAAGACUGGAAGAGGAUGCACAUCCUAUUGUUCUGCAGAUGGUGAUGACGUAUGGUGGACGCCCAAUGUGUCUGUGCCACCUCAAGUUCCUAUGUGCCCGUCAUUUGCUGAGUGCAGACAAUGUUCCCAGCACUGUGUAGGCACCACCACAUCAGCUUUUUUAUGUCUUAAGUAUUAUCUUACUUAAUCAUUACCUGGGGCCUCCGUGAUAAGCAUUGUUCUUUUAAUUAUGGAAAGGGAAACUGAGGCUGCAGAGUUUUUUUUUUUUUUACUGGCAACUCAAAUUCAGGUAUGCUGCUGCUAAACUGAAUGGUUUUUCCAUUGAAAUAAGUGUGGCAAAUGGGUUUUGAUCCAAGUUUCAGUAAAUUUUGAUAGCUAUAAGGAUUAAAAGACUUUUGUAUCUCAGUGAGAAAGAAUACUGUGAUUGAUUAGUGAUGUUUGCUAUUGGCAAAGGUGCAGGAGGGGAAAUAAUGUUAUGAUUGUUUAGUGAUGUCUGAUAUGGCAGCACAUGUGUUGCAUUCGUUUGUCAAUUUUGUAGAAGGACAGGUCUCUACAUUGCAAAGUUUUACUGCAAUUCCGAUUCUCCACCAUGUAUGUCAUUUUAAAUCUCCCCAUACAUAUACUCUGCAAAAUAGUUUCAACAUGCUCUUGAAAAAUCAA
Peromyscus leucopus (white-footed mouse) is the source of this 876-nucleotide long non-coding RNA. RefSeq lists it as uncharacterized. The transcript has 2 exons. The record is from RefSeq and is a predicted model, not a curated record. Lineage: Eukaryota; Metazoa; Chordata; Mammalia; Rodentia; Cricetidae.